GGGUGAGGAACGCGUACACAACUUCCCUUCAACUGGGGCACAACCUUGAGAAAUCAGGGCUAAUUCCCCAUAACAUUACAGAGUGGCAUCAUUCCGUAAUUAAAGAUCAGUCGGUUGAAGAUGGGUGUGCGCCUGAUUAGCUAGUUGGUAGGGUAACGGCCUACCAAGGCAACGAUCAGUAGCUGGUGUGAGAGCACGACCAGCCACACGGGCACUGAGAUACGGGCCCGACUCCUACGGGAGGCGGCAGUAAGGAAUAUUGGUCAAUGGACGCAAGUCUGAACCAGCCAUGCCGCGUGAGGGAUGAAGGUCCUCUGGAUUGUAAACCUCUUUUAUCUGUGAAGAAACCCCCGAUUUCUAUCGGGGUUGACGGUAACAGAUGAAUAAGCACCGGCUAACUCCGUGCCAGCAGCCGCGGUAAUACGGAGGGUGCAAGCGUUAUCCGGAUUCACUGGGUUUAAAGGGUGCGUAGGUGGAUGGGUAAGUCAGUGGUGAAAUACUCUCGCUUAACGAGGGAACUGCCGUUGAUACUAUUCAUCUUGAAUGCGGUGGAGGUGGGCGGAAUGUGUCAUGUAGCGGUGAAAUGCUUAGAUAUGACACAGAACACCUAUUGCGAAGGCAGCUCACUACACCGUGAUUGACACUGAGGCACGAAAGCGUGGGGAUCAAACAGGAUUAGAUACCCUGGUAGUCCACGCCGUAAACUAUGAUUACUAGAUGUUGGCGUUUUUUCGUCAGCGUUUUAACGAAAGUAUUAAGUAAUCCACCUGGGGAGUACGAUCGCAAGAUUGAAACUCAAAGGAAUUGACGGGGGCCCGCACAAGCAGAGGAGUAUGUGGUUUAAUUCGAUGAUACGCGAGGAACCUUACCUGGGCUUGAACGUAUUAUGACAGGUGCCGAAAGGUACUCUCCCUUCGGGGCAUUUUACGAGGUGCUGUAUGGUUGUCGUCAGCUCGUGCCGUGAGGUGUCGGCUUAAGUGCCUUAACGAGCGCAACCCCUAUUUUUAGUUGCCAGCGAGUAAUGUCGGGGACUCUAAAGAAACUGCCUACGCAAGUAGUGAGGAAGGUGGGGAUGACGUCAAAUCAGCACGGCCCUUACGUCCAGGGCUACACACGUACUACAAUGGCCAUUACAGAAGGUCGCUACCUGGUGACAGGAUGCUAAUCUCGAAAAAUGGUCUCAGUUCGGAUUGAAGUCUGCAACUCGACUUCAUGAAGCUGGAUUUGCUAGUAAUCGCGCAUCAGCACGCCGCGGUGAAU
This 1260-nucleotide ribosomal RNA is filed under the name uncultured bacterium. RNAcentral describes it as "bacterial SSU rRNA". It matches the Rfam family "Bacterial small subunit ribosomal RNA", at positions 104 to 1367 of the family's 1533-position model. The record is from RNAcentral.